UCAGGUAAUAGACGUAGCCAGCUUAAGCCCGCGACACACGACAACGUCCCGCACCGUUGUCAUAUGACCUGUUCAAAUGGUUGGAAAUGUAAUUCACGGUGUUAGCCAGGGUCACAACACGGAGUGAAUUACCGCGGAGACGCACUUUAUCGAGUUGGUUGCGUUAUGAGUGUCUGAGUUGUGCUGAACCAGAAGUUGUUAACAACAGUGUGAUUGACAUUAACAGAGUUAAAUAUUUUAGCUGGCCUUGGAAUAAUUGGAAUGGAUCCGUUCAGAUUAUAAACGUGUCCGUCGUCUUUGGAGUACAGGUUGUGAUAGCGAUAGUGAGAGAGGCAGAUUGGAGUAUAGGUCUCGCUUUUUAUUAUUUAUUUACUUUUUAAUGAAUAUUUAUUUAAUUAAUCUAUGUAUUGAAACUCUGAAUUUCUUGCAGGAAGUGGAUAAAGAACAUUUAACACAGCAGGUCUUUCUUUACCUUUUUAAUCAACAAAGUAAUUGGCUGUUUCACGUCUUGUAGUACUAGUUUUUAUAUACCAUUGAAUGUUAGUUAAGCCAGGCAUUCAGGAAAUAUAAAACAUAAACAAAAGACUUUAGAUAUUGUCAAAUGAGAUGCACAGACACAUUAAGCAGGUAUAAUUCUAGUGUAUAUACAGACAGGAGUUUGCUGGAUCUAUAUUUGAUGAAUUUAAAGUUUUAUGCGCUGAAAUCUAAUGUGGUUUUCUGAUGUCUUACAGGUUCCAAUUAUCAGCAGGACAGCUAAAUUAAAUACAAUUCAAGAUUCUCCAUCCAAAGGCUCUGUAGUUGUGUGUAUGUGGCAGUGUAAACUGUGCUUAGUGGCAGUUGCAGGAAGAUUGGCAUUAUUGAACCACUACAAAUUGAAGCAUCCACACCUUGGGCGUACCAGCCGUUAUCCAUGUACGUUUUUAGAGUGCCCUUGCACAUUUAAAACAUGGAAUGCAUUACAUAUUCAUCACUCUCGGGAUCAUUCCACAAAUUAUAAAGCAGUAAAGGCACUAUCUGUAUUUAAGUGUCACAUUUGCUCGUGUAAGAAUUUGGGGAAUGAAAGAGAGUACUUUGCUCACAUAAAUGCUCAUUUAAAGAAGAAUGAAAAAGUGACUUGCAUGUUUGAUGGUUGUGAUUUUCAUACAAGUGUUUAUGGAACCUUUAGGUCACACAAAAGUCGUAGACACGCAUCUCAUUCUUUGACUGAUUUUAAACCCGGUAUUGUGACAACAAAUGCACCUCUGCCUUUUGAACUUUUACCCACUGAUGGCCAGGAAGAUGAGUGUGUGGAGAGCGACACUGUAGAGUCAGCUAAUCCCGAGGUCCUCUCAAGUGCAAUUGAGAAGCAACUUGCAGCAGCCUUACUCAAGUUGGAGUAUCUUGUUCAUGUGCCAGGUACGGCUGUAGAUGAUUUUUUAUAUGAGCUUAAUUAUUUAAGUUCAGCAUCUGUGCCACUUUCAAAAGCUAUAGUUGCUGAUAUCUUAAAGCGACUUAACUUUCAGGUUGAGGACUCGGUAGUUGCUAAUAUCAUUUCUGCAGUGUAUACAACCAAUCCAAUAUCAAAGGCUAUUGAAAAGGGAGGGCCACUUUCCAGUUCAUAUCAGCGUAAAAAAUACUACAGGGAUUGCUUCAGUGUUGUGGAACCUGUGACUUUUAUCCUUGAUGGUAAAAAGCGCAGAACCUUUCAAUAUGUCCCAAUUUUAAAGUCACUGCAGCAGGUCUUAAGUAGAAAAGGUAUUCUUGACAAACUCAUAGAAAAUCAUAAAGGAACAACAAGCCUUGAAAGAGACCCAUCUUAUGAAUACAGGUCAUUUAAAGACGGUAAUCAUUUUCAACAAAACAAGUUUUUGAAUAAUGAUGAGUUAAGAAUAUCAGUAUGUCUGUAUGUUGAUGAUUUUGAAACUUGUAAUCCCCUAGGCACCUCUAGAAAAAAGCACAAGCUUUGUGCUGUUUAUUGGUUGCUCUCGAACCUACCUCCAGGCUGUCAUUCCUCUUUAUCCUCCAUUUAUCUUGCUGUGCUUUGUAAGAGUGAUGAUGUCAAAAACUACAGUUUUGAUAAUGUUUUGGAACCUCUCUUAACAGACCUAAAAACCUUGGAGGACCAUGGUGUGUAUGUUCCGCUGUUAGGUACGUCUUUAAAAGGUACAGUGCAUAGUGUUGUUGCUGAUAAUUUAGGAGCACACAGUAUUGCUGGCUUCAUUGAGAGUUUUUCUGGAGAUUACUUCUGUCGUUUUUGCACAGCGAGAAGUUGUGAAAUCAGUUCUCAUUGUGUUGCAUCUGGUGUUUUUAAUUUGAGGACAAAAGAAGAACAUGCAGAACAUGUGCAAAUAGCUGUUGAGAACGUCACACAUCACUUGGCUGUAAAACGAGAGUGUGCUCUCACCAAGAACCUGUCACACUUUAAUGUUGUGACUGGAUAUCCCCCUGAUAUUGCUCAUGACAUAUUUGAGGGAAUUGUGCCAUUUGAAUUGGCGUACUGCCUGAAUUUUUUGAUAGCAAAGAAAUUUUUUACAUUAGAUGAGCUAAACAAAGCUAUAUUGUCAUUCCCAUACAAAUGGUCUGACAAGACCAACAAGCCUCAUGCUGUCCCUAAGAGUUUGUCCAGUCGGAAGUCCAUUGGAGGCAACGCCCAUGAAAAUUGGAGCUUGCUUAGGUUCCUCCCAUUUUUAAUUGGGUCUUGUGUUCCACAAAAUGAGCCAGCAUGGGUUGUGUUGCUGGAUUUGAAAGACAUUACUGAACUGGUUGUGGCCCCGGUGCAUACUGAUGAGUCCAUCUCAUACCUUGAAAGUAAGAUAGUUGAACACAGACAGAGGUUCCAAGAGCUGUUUCCUACUGUGAGACUUCUGCCAAAGCACCACUUCCUUGAGCACUAUCCUCGGUUGAUUCGUUGUUUUGGCCCUUUAUUGUCUGUCUGGACAAUGCGCUUUGAAGCCAAACAUAAAUAUUUUAAGCAGAUAGUGAAACAUACUAGUUGCUUCAAAAACUUACCUUUGACUUUGGCAUCAAAGCAUCAGUUUAUGAUUGCUUUCCACAUCAGUUCACCAUCUUAUGGUAAACCUUGCCUUGAUGUACCAUGUGUGUCCACAGUUCCAGUUGAUUUAUUGAAAGAUGAGGUGGCUCGGGCUAUUCAUUUAAAAUAUCCCAACACUGAUGAAGUAAAUCUUGCAAAAAAUGCAACAUAUUGGGGUAUUGCCUACAGCAAGGGCAUGAUAGUAGCACAUGGAUCGGCAUGUGGAUUACCAGAGUUUGCUGAAAUUAUCCAGAUGUGCAUCAUCGAUGGGAACUUGUUUGUUAUAGUGAGAGUGCUGUGUGCUUGGUAUAUUGAACACUACAGAGCCUUUGAGCUAAGGUUGUCUCCUGCAAGAGAAGUCAAGCUAUUAGCACUAAGUGAACUGACUGAUGCCUAUCCAUUAGCUGCCUACAUGGUUGGAUCCAGCCGAAUGGUAACUUUAAAAAGGCACAUCCACAUUAAAGGUUGGUUACUAAAUGUCCUAGCUUUGUUUAUUCAUAACGCAUUUUGCGUGUUUUGGCUGUACAUCCUAAAAAGUUCUCAGUUUUUUCCCCCACUGCAUUCUUUCAUAAUUUUUAUUAAUUUUUAUGUGUUUACUUUUGAUGAUCUAAUGCACAGUGACUUUCCAUCUUUCACUCUAUAAAUUCUUGUGGCAUGUUAGUCUGUCCUAUUUCUCUCUUGGGCCUCUUAAAGUUGCUGAGUGGUUAGUUUUACUGUCUAAAUGCAUUUUUAACUACUCGAAAAAAAGUAACUUUUAUUCAUCCUCUUGACAGAUUGAAACCUGUGGUCAUGGCGGCUCUUUUGAAAGUCAUCCUUGGAGACAACAACAGUCAACGCUUGACUUUCCCAGAUGGACUUCCAACAUCUGUCAGUGAACUUGUUGAUAUUGUGCAGAGACAGUGUGCUAUUCAGACAAACUUCAGGCUUCAGUUCAUGGAUCCCCUAUUUAACAAUGAGUUCAUGAACCUCACUUCAAUGGAUGAAGUGACAGAUCGUGGAACAAUCAGAGUAAUCUAUAUGACAGGCAUCUUAACCCCGCAGCGCGUAGAGGUCCAGAUUUCUUCAGGAAGUGCUUGUAACUAUAGUUUUCUGGAAGAAAGCUCAUCAGUGUCUAGUGGUGGUGUAGAUACUGACAUUCUGUCUUCACCGGAAUCAGACGCAUCCACCUCUUCAACCUCCAGGACAUUUUGGCCUAGCACUUUCAGUGUUCCACAGUUUGGCUUUGAUGCAGAGUUAAAACUUGAAAGAGGCAAUGCAGCAUUCAAAGAGAAUGGCGUAGUGCUUAUCCCAGAUCUUAAACUCAAGUCAAACAUUUUAGAGGGUCUGAUUCAAGAAAUUGUCAAAUACAAAGUUUAUGUCACAGACAGAGAGUUUGACAUGGUUGGUGAGGCACUCCUCUCCAAACACCCUUGUCUAACAGAGAGGGGCUCAGUGACAGGAUAUGCUGGUUGGAAGGCAAGCUUAAAGAAUAAACUUGCGAUUUACCGUACCCAUUUGAGAAAACUGGGAUGUCCUGAGGUUUUGGUGAACUCUGUUAAGCACAAGCCUGAGGGUAAAUCAAGUGCUGCCUCUGCCAUCAAAAGACCAAGACGUUCUGAAGUGAACUACUGCCCCCCUUAUCCCACUGGAGAAUCAGAUCAGAGUCUGGAGGGUCUGAGAGUGGAACUCCUAUCAGAUGUGAAGAAGCGGAACAACAGGGAGGCAGUGAGAAGGAAAAUGGACCAGACCUUCGCACACAGGAGGUAUGAAGUGGUUCGAGACAAACCAAUGGUUGAAGAUUUCAAGAACAGAUGGCCAGCCCUCUUCGAUGUAACUGAGAUAAAUUUAGAGUUCAAACGCAUCACCACCAUACCGCUACAGUCAAGGUUUUUAUCUCGGAUAGACGUGCUGUCCGGCAAACUCCUCAGACUGUUUGAGCGAAGAGGUGGACAGAUGGGGAGAGUGCUCAAAGAUAUUGUGGCACCCAUGGCUCAGGAUGACGAUGUUGACCUCGGUCGAGGUUGUAUCAUCAAAGGACUGUGUGUGUACCUCAAUGAGGAACCAGGAAACUUAGUCAAAGAAUAUGUGGGCGCAGACGAAACCAAUGAAAGAUCCAUCGAGGAGACCACUGUUGGCAUUUACGUCCUGAAAGCAGACUGCAACUCAAACCCAGAUGACAUCGGCAUAGUGAUUGAAGGACAGGUGGUCUUGCAGGAACUGGACAACUUUCCGUUAGCUGUUGCCAUGUUGUUUGGCUUGAUUUACACACUGAACCUCGACUACCCUCGUGACCUCAAAUAUACAUUUGAGGUGCUCCAAAAAAUCAUCAUGGAGCUGGAGGGCACCACUCUUUCCAAAAAAGCGCAAGUGCUCAAGAACAGACUCUGUGAAUGAGUAUUUUAUCUGUCAAUGCAGAUUUUCUAAGUGUUUACAGAGAAAAGGUUAGGUGUUCCUCAGUUUUUGAAAUUUUACAGUUACUAUAUAUUUUUGAUAUGAAAAUAGUAUAUUUUUUCAUUCUUGCAGCUAAAGAGUCUUUUUUUUUUUUUUACUACUGGAGCUUGUUCGUAAUGUUUUGUGUAAAGCCGAAGGACACCAUGCUCUGCAAGAUGGCUCAAGAAUUUAAGAACCGUACUGUUGGUGAUUUCAAAGUGUUCAGAAGAAACUUUAUACACUGGUUUUCCUCAGUGUUGGAUAUGCUUUAAAUAUGUCGUGCUGUGAUAUGUGUUUGCACAGUACUGUAUAUUUUUGAUGUUCAGUGCCUAAAAAUGUGUCUGCACAGUACUCCAUUUUUUGAUGUGCAAUUUUUAGUGCUUCAAGACUUGUUUGCACGGUAUUGCAUAUUUGUGAUUCACAUUUUUAUUGUUUAUUUUUAUGUAAAGACCUGUUUUCAAAGUAUUGCAAUUUUUGGAUGUGCAGUUUUUUUGAAGGUUCAUGAAAAAUGUUCUAAACUACAGCUGCUUUGUAAUGCUUUAGUGUUGAACAUCAGCAUGUCAAAGCAUUUUUGACAGUUUUGAAUUCUGUAAUUCAUCUUUGAAUUAAAAGUGGCUCAAGAUA
Molecule: RNA transcript, 6043 nt
Organism: Acanthochromis polyacanthus (spiny chromis)
Lineage: Eukaryota; Metazoa; Chordata; Actinopteri; Pomacentridae
Exons: 5
Source: RefSeq, a predicted model, not a curated record